UACGGGAGGCAGCAGUGGGGAAUUUUGGACAAUGGGCGCAAGCCUGAUCCAGCAAUGCCGCGUGCAGGAAGAAGGCCUUCGGGUUGUAAACUGCUUUUGUACGGAACGAAACGGUCUGGGUUAAUACCUCGGGCUAAUGACGGUACCGUAAGAAUAAGCACCGGCUAACUACGUGCCAGCAGCCGCGGUAAUACGUAGGGUGCAAGCGUUAAUCGGAAUUACUGGGCGUAAAGCGUGCGCAGGCGGUGAUGUAAGACAGUCGUGAAAUCCCCGGGCUCAACCUGGGAAUUGCGAUUGUGACUGCAUCGCUGGAGUGCGGCAGAGGGGGAUGGAAUUCCGCGUGUAGCAGUGAAAUGCGUAGAUAUGCGGAGGAACACCGAUGGCGAAGGCAAUCCCCUGGGCCUGCACUGACGCUCAUGCACGAAAGCGUGGGGAGCAAACAGGAUUAGAUACCCUGGUAGUCCACGCCCUAAACGAUGUCAACUGGUUGUUGGGUCUCUUCUGACUCAGUAACGAAGCUAACGCGUGAAGUG
This 533-nucleotide ribosomal RNA is filed under the name uncultured beta proteobacterium. RNAcentral's name for it is "bacterial SSU rRNA". It matches the Rfam family "Bacterial small subunit ribosomal RNA", at positions 340 to 866 of the family's 1533-position model. Lineage: Bacteria; Pseudomonadati; Pseudomonadota; Betaproteobacteria. The record is from RNAcentral.